AUACGUAGGGUGCAAGCGUUAAUCGGAAUUACUGGGCGUAAAGCGUGCGCAGGCGGUUUUGUAAGACAGAGGUGAAAUCCCCGGGCUCAACCUGGGAACUGCCUUUGUGACUGCAAGGCUAGAGUACGGCAGAGGGGGAUGGAAUUCCGCGUGUAGCAGUGAAAUGCGGAGAUAUGCGGAGGAACACCGAUGGCGAAGGCAAUCCCCUGGGCCUGUACUGACGCGCAUGCACGAAAGCGUGGGGAGCAAACAGGAUUAGAUCCCCUGGUAGUCCACGCCCUAAACGAUGUCAACUGGUUGUUGGGUCUUCAUUGACUCAGUAACGAAGCUAACGCGUGGAGUUGACCGCCUGGGGAGUACGGCCGCAAGGUUGAAACUCAAAGGAAUUGACGGGG
This 395-nucleotide ribosomal RNA is filed under the name uncultured bacterium. RNAcentral's name for it is "partial 16S ribosomal RNA". It matches the Rfam family "Bacterial small subunit ribosomal RNA", at positions 523 to 918 of the family's 1533-position model. The record is from RNAcentral.